AGUGAACGCUGGCGGUAGGCCUAACACUUGCAAGUCGAACGGCAGCACAGUAAGAGCUUGCUCUUACGGGUGGCGAGUGGCGGACGGGUGAGGAAUACAUCGGAAUCUACUUUUUCGUGGGGGAUAACGUAGGGAAACUUACGCCAAUACCGCAUACGACCUACGGGUGAAAGCAGGGGAUCUUCGGACCUUGCGCGAUUGAAUGAGCCGAUGUCGGAUUAGCUAGUUGGCGGGGUAAAGGCCCACCAAGGCGACGAUCCGUAGCUGGUCUGAGAGGAUGAUCAGCCACACUGGAACUGAGACACGGUCCAGACUCCUACGGGAGGCAGCAGUGGGGAAUAUUGGACAAUGGGCGCAAGCCUGAUCCAGCCAUACCGCGUGGGUGAAGAAGGCCUUCGGGUUGUAAAGCCCUUUUGUUGGGAAAGAAAAGCAGCAGGUUAAUACCCCGCUGUUCUGACGGUACCCAAAGAAUAAGCACCGGCUAACUUCGUG
This 492-nucleotide ribosomal RNA is filed under the name uncultured bacterium. RNAcentral's name for it is "partial 16S ribosomal RNA". It matches the Rfam family "Bacterial small subunit ribosomal RNA", at positions 29 to 507 of the family's 1533-position model. The record is from RNAcentral.